This 496-nucleotide ribosomal RNA is filed under the name uncultured bacterium. Its description in RNAcentral is "partial 16S ribosomal RNA". It matches the Rfam family "Bacterial small subunit ribosomal RNA", at positions 29 to 507 of the family's 1533-position model. The record is from RNAcentral.
AUGCACGCUGGCGGCGUGCCUCAUCCCUGCCAGUCGAGCGAACGGACGAGAAGCUUGCUUCUCUGAUGUUAGCGGCGGACGGGUGAGUAACACGUGGAUAACCUACCUAUAAGACUGGGAUAACUUCGGGAAACCGGAGCUAAUCCCGGAUAAUAUUUUGAACCGCAUGGUUCAAAAGUGAAAGACGGUCUUGCUGUCACUUAUAGAUGGAUCCGCGCUGCAUUAGCUAGUUGGUAAGGUAACGGCUUACCAAGGCAACGAUGCAUAGCCGACCUGAGAGGGUGAUCGGCCACACUGGAACUGAGACACGGUCCAGACUCCUACGGGAGGCAGCAGUAGGGAAUCUUCCGCAAUGGGCGAAAGCCUGACGGAGCAACGCCGCGUGAGUGAUGAAGGUCUUCGGAUCGUAAAACUCUGUUAUUAGGGAAGAACAUAUGUGUAAGUAACUGUGCACAUCUUGACGGUACCUAAUCAGAAAGCCACGGCUAACUACGUG